This 253-nucleotide ribosomal RNA is filed under the name uncultured bacterium. RNAcentral's name for it is "partial 16S ribosomal RNA". It matches the Rfam family "Bacterial small subunit ribosomal RNA", at positions 524 to 776 of the family's 1533-position model. The record is from RNAcentral.
UACGUAGGGUGCGAGCGUUAAUCGGAAUUACUGGGCGUAAAGCGUGCGCAGGCGGUUCGUUAAGUCAGCUGUGAAAGCCCCGGGCUCAACCUGGGAAUUGCGGUUGAAACUGGCGAACUAGAAUCUGGCAGAGGGGGGUGGAAUUCCACGUGUAGCAGUGAAAUGCGUAGAGAUGUGGAGGAACACCAGUGGCGAAGGCGACUCUUUGGCCUGUAACUGACGCUGAGGCGCGAAAGCGUGGGGAGCAAACAGG